Molecule: long non-coding RNA, 561 nt
Filed under: Triticum aestivum (bread wheat)
Lineage: Eukaryota; Viridiplantae; Streptophyta; Magnoliopsida; Poales; Poaceae
Description: long non-coding RNA (TAES_LNC027627)
Source: RNAcentral
UGCGCCUUGCUUGCCACACGCGCCCGCACAAACACGUUGCAUGCACCAACCAAAGCGACGAGAUUAUACCGACAAUACACAGGUGCAUUUCAAUGUAAACAGUUGGUGAACGGUGUGCGGUAACAACAGGUACUACAACUGACUUUGCCUCCCCAGGUGGGUCUUAUGGAAACGGAGGCAAAGCAAAGACACGGACGAACGAAACAACAGAACAAUGUUUCCGGAAUCGGAAUAGGGUCCCUCUCCCUCUCCUCCCCGGUGAUGUGCCGGGGAGGCAGGUGAUAGAUAGCUAAGGAGGCUGCCCCCUCCCUCCGGUUCGCCAUGGACGACAGCCUCGGCGAGGGGGGAGGGGAGCCUUUUUAGGUGUUCUUAACGAAUGCAAUGGAACGAAUGGCGGCUGGGAGGAUCAUCCUACUCCUUGGAGUUGCGGUAGAAGUCGACGCAGGUCUGGCAUCCGCAGUCGGUGAAGCGGCACAUCUCGCACCCGAAGCACACGCACUUCUCGCAGCCCGCGCACGACGCAGCGCGGGAGCAGCCCUUGAUCACCUUGCGGCUCCCUCG